Molecule: long non-coding RNA, 1357 nt
Filed under: Phascolarctos cinereus (koala)
Lineage: Eukaryota; Metazoa; Chordata; Mammalia; Diprotodontia; Phascolarctidae
Description: lncRNA (ENSPCIG00000018162.2)
Source: RNAcentral
UCCGGCAGUUCAGUUUCCGCGCCCUCAACAGCCGCCAAUAGCAACGACAUCCGCGCCUUAAAGGGGCGGGACCGCCCCGCAGGGCAUGAUGGGGGGGUUUUCCCAGCCGACCGGAAACCAGCCGCUGGGAAAGGUCCUAGACGCUCCGCCCUCUCUCCAUCUCUUCCUGUAGCCUGCAAUUGGAGUGACGGUUGUCCCUUUUUCUUCCCGCCCACCCGCGGCCUCCCUUCUGUCUCCAACGGUCUCACACUCCUUCCUCCUUCCCCUCCUCCGACAAGCUCGGAGGCGGGACGAGGUGAGAAGGAGCUGCGCAGCCUCACAGAAGCAGAGGAGCUAUCGAUGGUUACCAGUGGCUGACGGGCCCAGAGGAAAAGAAACAAUCAAAAGAAGGCCUUCUCUAUCUACAGAGGCAAAGGACUUCUUAGCACAAGCUGACAAGAGAAUGGACCUUGGCCAAGCAAACAGGGGUUUCCCUUCCUUCUCAAAAGCUUAUGAUGAGGCUUUGAGGAAGUGAAUGAAGAAUCAUCAAACAUAGAAAAUUAAAAAGUUAUAAUCAUAGGACAAAGAAUGCUAGAGCCGGAAGCGUACCUUAAAGAUCAUUGAGUCUAACUUCCUUAUUCUUUAUCUUUUAAUUUUAUUGAUGUUUUUUGUUUUGAUACAAUAAUCAUUUCCAAAUACACUCAGUGGAUAGAGCACUGGCCCCUGGAGUCAGCAGGACCUGAGUUCAAAUCCGGCCUCAGACACAUAACCCUCACUAGCUGUGUGUCUCUGGGCAAGUCACUUAACCCCAAUUGCCUCACCAAAAAUAAGUUUUUUUUAAAGUAAAAAAAUUGCCUUUACCAUUCAAAAAAAAAAAAAGGAAAAGGGACCUAUUUGUACAAAAAUAUUUAUAGCAGCUCUUUUUGUGGUGGCUAAGAAUUGGAUAUCACAGGGAUGCCCAUGAAUUGGCAAAUGACUGAACAAGCUGUGGUAUAUGAUUGUGAUGGAAUAUUAUUGUGCUAUAAGAAAUGACAAGUGGGAUGAUUUCAGAAAAACCUGGAAAGACUUACAUGAACUGAUGCAUAGUGAAGUGAACAGAACCAGGAGAACAUUGUACACAGUAACAGCAAUAUUGUGUGAUGAAGAACUGGGAAUGAGGUAGCUAUUCUCAGCAAUAUAAUGAUCCAAGAUAAUCCCAAAGGACUAAUGAUGAAGCAUACUGUCUGCCUCCAGAGAAAGAACUGAUAUUGAUUGAAUACAGACUGAAGCAUGCUGUUUUUCACUUUCUUUUUUCUUUUUUUCCAGUCUUCUUGUACAAAAUGACUAACAUGGAAUUGUUUUACAUAAUUGGACAUGUGUAACCUACAUCUGAUUGCUU